RNAcentral lists this ribosomal RNA (498 nucleotides) under uncultured bacterium. RNAcentral describes it as "bacterial SSU rRNA". It matches the Rfam family "Bacterial small subunit ribosomal RNA", at positions 28 to 526 of the family's 1533-position model. The record is from RNAcentral.
GAUGAACGCUGGCGGCGUGCCUAACACAUGCAAGUCGAGCGAGAAGAACAUGACUGAAUCUUCGGAGGAAGGAGUGUUUGGAAAGCGGCGGACGGGUGAGUAACGCGUGGGCAACCUACCCUAUACAGAGGGAUAGCCACUGGAAACGGUGAUUAAUACCUCAUAAGACUACAGCAUCGCAUGGUGAAGUAGUCAAAACUCAGGUGGUAUAGGAUGGGCCCGCGUCUGAUUAGCUAGUUGGUAAGGUAAUGGCUUACCAAGGCGACGAUCAGUAGCCGACCUGAGAGGGUGAUCGGCCACACUGGAACUGAGACACGGUCCAGACUCCUACGGGAGGCAGCAGUGGGGAAUAUUGCACAAUGGGCGAAAGCCUGAUGCAGCAACGCCGCGUGAGCGAUGAAGGCCUUCGGGUCGUAAAGCUCUGUCCUAAGGGAAGAAUAAUGACGGUACCUUAGGAGGAAGCCCCGGCUAACUACGUGCCAGCAGCCGCGGUAAAAC